CACUCCUGCGGGAGGCAGCAGUGGGGAAUAUUGGACAAUGGGCGCAAGCCUGAUCCAGCCAUGCCGCGUGAGUGAUGAAGGCCCUAGGGUUGUAAAGCUCUUUCACCGGAGAAGAUAAUGACGGUAUCCGGAGAAGAAGCCCCGGCUAACUUCGUGCCAGCAGCCGCGGUAAUACGAAGGGGGCUAGCGUUGUUCGGAAUUACUGGGCGUAAAGCGCACGUAGGCGGAUCGAUCAGUCAGGGGUGAAAUCCCAGGGCUCAACCCUGGAACUGCCUUUGAUACUGUCGAUCUGGAGUAUGGAAGAGGUGAGUGGAAUUCCGAGUGUAGAGGUGAAAUUCGUAGAUAUUCGGAGGAACACCAGUGGCGAAGGCGGCUCACUGGUCCAUUACUGACGCUGAGGUGCGAAAGCGUGGGGAGCAAACAGGAUUAGAAACCCGAGUAGUCCCAUGAU
Molecule: ribosomal RNA, 451 nt
Filed under: uncultured organism
Description: partial 16S ribosomal RNA
Rfam family: Bacterial small subunit ribosomal RNA
Source: RNAcentral